AGUGAACGCUGGCGGUAGGCCUAACACACGCAAGUCGAACGGCAGCACAGUAAGAGCUUGCUCUUACGGGUGGCGAGUGGCGGACGGGUGAGGAAUACAUCGUAAUCUACUUUUUCGUGGGGGAUAACGUAGGGAAACUUACUCUAAUACCGCAUACGACCUACGGGUGAAAGCAGGGGAUCUUCGGACCUUGCGCGGUUGAAUGAGCCGAUGUCGGAUUAGCUAGUUGGCGGGGUAAAGGCCCACCAAGGCGACGAUCCGUAGCUGGUCUGAGAGGAUGAUAAGCGACACUGGAACUGAGACACGGUCCAGACUACUAAGGGAGGCAGCAGUGGGGAAUAUUGGACAAUGGGCGCAAGCCUGAUCCAGCCAUACCGAGUGGGUGAAGAAGGCCUUCGGGUUGUAAAGCCCUUUUGUUGGGAAAGAAAAGCAGCAGGUUAAUACCACGCUGUUCUGACGGUACCCAAAGAAUAAGCACCGGCUAACUUCGUG
RNAcentral lists this ribosomal RNA (492 nucleotides) under uncultured bacterium. RNAcentral's name for it is "partial 16S ribosomal RNA". It matches the Rfam family "Bacterial small subunit ribosomal RNA", at positions 29 to 507 of the family's 1533-position model. The record is from RNAcentral.